GACGGAGGAUGCAAGCGUUAUCCGGAAUUAUUGGGCGUAAAGCGUCCGCAGGUGGCUGUUCAAGUCUGCUGUCAAAGCGCAGAGCUUAACUCUGUACAGGCGGUGGAAACUGAAGAGCUAGAGUAUGGUAGGGGUAGAGGGAAUUCCCGGUGUAGCGGUGAAAUGCGUAGAUAUCGGGAAGAACACCAGUGGCGAAAGCGCUCUACUGGGCCAUAACUGACACUGAGGGACGAAAGCAUGGGGAGCGAACAGG
RNAcentral lists this ribosomal RNA (253 nucleotides) under uncultured bacterium. RNAcentral's name for it is "partial 16S ribosomal RNA". It matches the Rfam family "Bacterial small subunit ribosomal RNA", at positions 524 to 776 of the family's 1533-position model. The record is from RNAcentral.